AAGAAUGAAGCAAUUAUGCACUCAGUUUCGACCUGAACAUCUGGUCUUCCCAUUCUUG
RNAcentral lists this transfer RNA (58 nucleotides) under Ornithodoros phacochoerus. RNAcentral describes it as "Ornithodoros sp. 3 BJM-2014 tRNA-Arg". The record is from RNAcentral. Lineage: Eukaryota; Metazoa; Arthropoda; Arachnida; Ixodida; Argasidae.